GCCCUCGUAGCACAAAGGAUAGUGCACAGGCCUCCGAAGCUUGGGAUAGAGGUUCGAUUCCUCUCGAGGGCA
RNAcentral lists this transfer RNA (72 nucleotides) under Candidatus Kerfeldbacteria bacterium. RNAcentral's name for it is "tRNA-Arg". It matches the Rfam family "tRNA". Rfam says of the family: Transfer RNA (tRNA) molecules are approximately 80 nucleotides in length. Their secondary structure includes four short double-helical elements and three loops (D, anti-codon, and T loops). Lineage: Bacteria; Candidatus Kerfeldiibacteriota. The record is from RNAcentral.